AGGGCACCACCAGGAGUGGAGCCUGCGGCUUAAUUUGACUCAACACGGGGAAACUUACCCGGCCUGGACACUGGAAGGAUUGACAGAUUGAGAGCUCUUUCUUGAUUCAGUGGGUGGUGGUGCAUGGCCGUUCUUAGUUGGUGGAGCGAUUUGUCUGGUUAAUUCCGAUAACGAACGAGACUCUAGCCUAUUAAAUAGGCUCUCGGCUUUUAAACGCCGGGAGGACUUCUUAGAGGGACAGGUGGCGGUUCAGCCGCACGAAAGAGAGCAAUAACAGGUCUGUGAUGCCCUUUGUUGUCCGGGGCCGCACGCGCGCUACACUGAAGAGAUCAGCGUGCUUUACGUUCCUGCUCCGACCGGAGUGGGGAACCCAGUGAACCUUCUUCGUGAUUGGGAUAGAAGAUUGUAAUUAUUCUUCUUGAACGAGGAAUUCCCAGUAAAUGCGAGUCAUAAGCUCGCGUUGAUUACGUCCCUGCCCUUUGUACACACCGCCCGUCGCUGCUACCGAUUGAACGAUUU
RNAcentral lists this ribosomal RNA (519 nucleotides) under uncultured eukaryote. RNAcentral's name for it is "SSU rRNA". It matches the Rfam family "Eukaryotic small subunit ribosomal RNA", at positions 1161 to 1699 of the family's 1831-position model. The record is from RNAcentral.